ACAUCCAAGCCAAACCCGCCGAAAAUCCACCGAGCCUUUGGUUUUCUUACUCCUUCAUCUUCGAUUUCUUGCUCUUGGGUAAGGACCUUGGUCUUUACUGAAAUAUAACUAAUAAUAUAAAUUAUAUGUGUUUAAUGAAUUUACCUAAUUAAUAUAAAUUAUAUGUGUUUUAAUGAAUUUUAUGUUUGAGGUUUAAUUUUGAGCUUUAGAAGAUAAAGUUUGUAUUGCAUGUCUCAUCGGGUAAUCCCUAAGAUAAAAUUAUGAAAUUUGGUGGUAGUCUAGAUCUUUCGGUUAGCUUCAUGUUGAUAUAAAUUAUGCAUAAAUCAGAUUUAUAUUGAUUAAGUUAUGAAUCGUUUUCUGAAUCUGCACAGUUUCGGAGUCAUCCACGAAUUAUGUGUUAAAUAGCUUUUUAUACUACUCUUAUUGAAGUGAUUUCACUCGAAUAUGAUUAUGUACUUAUGAAACUAAUAUUCUACGAAAUUUGGUAAUUUUUGGAUUAAGUGAUGAAUUAUUUGGUAUUUUUAAAGUUAGUGGAUCUGUUCUGAAUUUCUGCUUAUGUUACUGCACUAAAUUGAUUAUAUCUCUUACAUAGGUGAGUUUCUUCAUAAACUGUUUUAACCCUAUAAACUAGACUUAGAUAUGAACAUGUGUUCCAAAUUUCAUCAGGUUUGGAUCUACGGAUUAGGAGAUAUGAAUUUCUGAAGUUAUAGUGCCUAAACUGCCAGAUCUGUUUUGAUCAAAGAUGUAGAUAUAGAUUACUAAUGAAUUUUCAGGUUUUCAGUCUCGGAGUUUACUGCAUGGUUCACAGGUGCCCUGUUUUCCUAAAAUCACGAAAUUUCAUGGGUAACUAGAUCUUUCUGUUCUCUUUAAUUUGAUAUAUUUUAAUCAUCAAUCGGAUUUCAGAUGAUUAAGAUAUGAACUAUUUACUAAACCUGCACAGCCUUUGAGUCAGCUGAGUAUUUUCUUCUAAAAUCGAUGUUUUCUUACUUGGAUUUCCUUCAUUCCACUUGGAAUAUAUUUAUAACUUAUAAAACCAGUUUUCGGCAAAGGUGUGCAGUGUUUUAACAAAAGGGUGAUUUAUUGAGUAUUUUUAAAGUGGUUGGUUCUGUUUCUGAAAGUGUGACCAUACUACUGUACUAUUUUACUUAUUUCUCUUAGGCUAUUGGUCUUCUUGGAAAACUGUUUUAAAGGAGUCUUUUCCACUGAUAUAGGAGUAUCAUGUUAAAGUUUCAGAAUUUUUGGAAUUACGGUUUAAGAGAAAUGUAAUUUCAAAGUUAAAGUGUCAAAACUGUGAGAUUUUCCUAAAACAAGUUAUUUAGAAUUAAAGGGGUCCUUUGUGGGCAUGGUUUAAACUCUUGAGACAUGACUUACAUGGUAAUAGAUAUAGAUUAAGUUACAUAGAUUAUUAUGUCACAUCUAAGAACCAUUAUUAGAGUAGAUAUAUGUAAGAUAAAAAGACUAGUAUAUAUUUAGAACGAUACGUUGUUCUUGAAACCUUCUAUGUGCUAGUACUUCUAAUGAGAUUUGAUUUUCUAUAGUCCCUUGAAUAGGAAUUAUGUGAAAUAUUGAAUUUCAUGAUGAUUAUUUGAAUAAUGUUUUUACUCUUAUGAGGUAUAAGUAUGUAUAUAUAUAUAUAAGUAUAUAUAUGUAUAUCGAUAGUUUAUACCUAUGAUGUUAUGGGCGUACUCCCCUCGGGUUGAGGAAACUUAUAACCCAUAGAUUAUAAAUUAGAGUAUAUACGUAUAUGUAUGAGUAUAUAAAUACGUAUAAGUGCCUAUGUGUAUAUACGUGUAAAAGUAUAUGUGUCUUUAUUACUAAUGUUUGAUCUAUAUGUGCUUACUAUUGUUUCAGAAUUUGCUUCCAGUUUAUAUGAUUUGAUUAUUCGAGUGAUGUGAUUAACUCCUUUCGAACUGAACAUCUUCGUCUUAAAAUCACUUANNNNNNNNNNNNNNNNNNNNNNNNNNNNNNNNNNNNNNNNNNNNNNNNNNNNNNNNNNNNNNNNNNNNNNNNNNNNNNNNNNNNNNNNNNNNNNNNNNNNNNNNNNNNNNNNNNNNNNNNNNNNNNNNNCGGCGGACCGGUAUCCCAAAAUGACAAGUUACUAUAGACUGCAGGGUGGGUAGCUCUCACCAAAGACCUGGCUCAGUAUAAAAACGUCUAUUGUCGAUGCUUACGUUAGGGUUUUGAUAGGGAUCCCGUCAUACGCAUCUACGCAUAAAAAUAAUUUUGGAAGAAAAACGAUUUUCAAAAAGAUUUUAAAAGAAAUUAUGUUUUUAAAAGAAAGGGACUUUUUGCCUAAAUCGGAUUCGCAAGUAAAUUGUGAAUUAAAUUACAAGAAUGAUUCCCAUAAUGAUUUUUAAGCAGUUUUUGAAACAAAACCAUAUUUUCGUUGUAAAGCUCUCGAUUUCAAGAGAAAAUAUGUUAUGUGCUUAUAUGUGUAUUUAUGUGAUUGAAUAUGUGUGACGUGUUUGUAUUUCAUUAGUUAUGAUGAUGGAUAGAGAUAAUAUAAUUAGUUGGAAAGAACAUAGACGAAUACUUUAGGACUCCCAUAGGUCGUGAGAGAUACGAUGAGAGAGGCGUGAGUUCGUCAGACUAAGACUAAUGUCCUUACUGAGCCAGUGUUUGGGCUCAUGCUUUUAUGCAAAUUAUCUUUUCAGGUUCUCCAAACUACGUAGGAGGCCGGCGGAGAGGAGUUCGAGGAAUCACGAGCCUUGGUGCCUAGAUUAUUUUACUCGUAUUUUCUACGCAACGUUUUAUCGAAAAACUAAUCACAUAGUAUAAUCUUAUUUUGUACUCUGAUUGGAACCCAGUCUAUUAAACGGGGG
Molecule: long non-coding RNA, 2822 nt
Filed under: Erythranthe guttata (spotted monkey flower)
Lineage: Eukaryota; Viridiplantae; Streptophyta; Magnoliopsida; Lamiales; Phrymaceae
Description: long non-coding RNA (EGUT_LNC003463)
Source: RNAcentral